CACUGUAAAGCUACCCAGCAUUAACCUUUUAAGUUAAAGAUUGAGAGAACCCCCUCUCUCUACAGUGA
This 68-nucleotide transfer RNA is filed under the name Ateles chamek (black spider monkey). Its description in RNAcentral is "tRNA-Lys". Lineage: Eukaryota; Metazoa; Chordata; Mammalia; Primates; Atelidae. The record is from RNAcentral.